AGUAUCCAUCGUGAUAUUUUAAACAGUCCAUAAAGCACUCAGGACGGCCCUGAAAGAGAGGGGCCGUAGUAGGGUGCUUCCAUAUCGGGCAUUAAUAUGAGAAUGACCCUUAAAUGCAUUUAGGACCAUAUUUUAAUUUUUGGGUUCCCAGGUGCACGUUUUCAAUCACCAGGUGCACGGAUGUAUAGGGUCCCCCAUGGAUAAAAGGUCCGUAUUAGGGUGCUCCCAUAGCGGGCAUGACUUUUUGGAACACCGCUCAUGUAAUUUUAGGUUCCCAGGUGCACGUUUUCAAUCACCAGGUGCACGGAUGUAUAGGGUCCCCCAUGGAUAAAAGGUCCGUAUUAGGGUGCUCCCAUAGCGGGCAUGACUUUUUGGAACACCGCUCAUGUAAUUUUAGGUUCCCAGUUGCACGUUUUCAAUCACCAGUUGCACAACAAUCAGUAUCCAUCGUGAUAUUUUAAACAGUCCAUAAAGCACUCAGGACGGCCCUGACAGAGAGAGGGCCGUAGUAGGGUGCUUCCAUAUCGGGCAUUAAUAUGAGAAUGACCCUUAAAUGCAUUUAGGACCAUAUUUUAAUUUUUGGGUUCCCAGGUGCACGUUUUCAAUCACCAGUUGCACAACAAUGAGUAUCCAUCAGAACAUGUUAAAGUGUCCAUAAAUCCCUCAGGACGGCCCCUAUGGAAAGAGGGCCGUAGUAGGGUACUCCUAUAACAGGGCAUUAAUAUCAGAAUGACCGGUAAAUGCAUUUUGGAGCUUAUUUUAAUUUUUGGGUUCCCAGGUGCACAUUUCAAAUCACCAGUUGCAC
Oncorhynchus tshawytscha (Chinook salmon) is the source of this 805-nucleotide long non-coding RNA. The record is from Ensembl. Lineage: Eukaryota; Metazoa; Chordata; Actinopteri; Salmoniformes; Salmonidae.